AACAGUUACCCCCCUUUAACCACAUUCAGAUAAAUUUUUCAGUACUGUGAAUUGUGUUCACAAUGUUGUGCUACCAUCACCACCAUCCAUUACAAGUACAUUUCCAUUGUUCCAAUCAAUUGGAUGUUAGAGAUGAGAAAGAGUCACAGGCAAUUUUAUAAGAUUUCUAGUCUUAGUUAUUAAUGAGGAUGGUACCAUUUCAACCAAGCUAAGGAACAUUAAGAAGUAGGAAGAUUAGGGGCAUAUUGAGUUUGAGGAACCAGUUAGCGUCCCUAAGAAGAUCUAGAAAUGCUGGUCUGGAGCUUAGUAGAGGGGCCAGAGCCAAGUGUAGAUUUGGGAGUUUGAUUCACUUCUGCAGCUGCAUUGCUUAUGUGCCUCUACAGAGCCUGGCAAUGUUCUCUCAUACACUGACCCAGGCUUGAGAGCAACUAACACACAGCAGGCAUUGGCUUAGAGACAGGAGCUGAAGUCACAGGAGUGAAUGAGAGAGAAUGUAGAUUAAAGAAUAAAGAACACCAAAGGCGGAGUGUGGGAUGAUCCAGUAUAAAGGACAGGUGCAACAGAGCCAGUGCCACACCUGAGAAGGCAGUCAAGAAGUUAGAAAAAACCCCGGAGUGAAUGGCAGAACUGAGUGGAGGAGAGACUUUGGAGAUGAGCAGGGCGAGUAAUAGUGUAAGACCCUACAGAGAAAUCAGUUUGUAGAUUCAAGAGCAACCCUACUGUGGAUUCCACCUGGGAUGAAUUACAGUGGAAUGGUAAGAGCAGAAGGCCCUGGUGGGAGAAGAUAGUGAAUCUAUAUACUGUAUAUGUUUUUGUAAAUGAGGGAAAGUUUCUCACAGCAGUUCUGUCUACCCGUGAUGUUGACAGUCAACCUGAGGUGGCCGAGAAGAAGUGCUUCAUUUUAGCCAGAUGGGAGUGUUCCAACUAGCUUUAUUCUGACCUAAAAUAAAGGCUGACCUAAAGCCGUAAAAAUUUUAAUUUGCAAAACCAUUGUAUUAAAUCACAAAUGGGAGGCAAUUUAGCAGUGCAGCUCCAAAAUUGUACUGGGUGCUGGCUGGGGUUUUGCAAUUUAUGUUGAAAACUAAAAUUGAACUCUGUGGCAUAAAAACAGAUUGUUGAUUUUGUGAUUAAUUUGGUUGCGAAGGCCAAGGAAACAGGGAAUGCUGCAUAUCAGUCAUGAAGUUGUGGUAGUAUUUGUGGAGCAAAAUGAAAAUCAAUAUUGUAACCUACGGGAUAGCUCUCUUAAAAUCCAAGAUGUAUUUGGUUGCAAUUGCGUGGAAGAAACUCACCCCCAACGGGACAAACGUGCCUUCAUUAUUUCACAAGUGUGUGUCUGUUUUGAAACAGUAGAGGAAAAUGAUCGGGUAUUAUUAUAGUGCAGCUGAGAGGACUAGGAGAAAGAUCAAAUUGUUGCAGUUUAGAAUAAAACCUGGCUUACGGUUAUGUGUGUCCUAAGGCAGCCUCAAGGAGUAAUCUCCGGGAGGGUUGUGCAGUCAGAAGCCAGGAUACCUGGGCUAUACUUCAGUCUCCGCUAAUCACAUGCUGGUGUUAGACAAGUCUCUUCCUCUCUCUAGUGUGUUUUGUGGUUUUAUGUGUUAGUACUUCAGAGACGCAUUGACAUAUUUCAGUGAAAAAGGAGUGUCUUCCAUUAGCAUCAUUAUGAAUAAGACACCCAAAGGGUUUGUUUAUGUUUUCAUUCCUAGAAGGGGGAAUAUACUUCUUUUCUAUUAAGCCUGUGCAUUUAGAGAGGGGAGUGUGGGAAAUUCCUUUCAUGUUUUGUCUUUUGUUUUGGCAAAGGCAAGAACGAUUCCUGCUUUCCAUGGCAAAAGAAUAAUCAAUAGCAGACUGCUUUACACACAUAGUUGGAGCCCUUUGUAGAUGGAGAUGUCGAGAACUAGGGAAUGAUUUGCUCACAGGUUAUUUUAGUUGGCAGUGGUGCCCAGAUGAGAACGUCCAGGCAAAGAUUCAUUCUGUGAUCCUACCUGCCAUUUUCCUAAGUGGCACUGGAAUUAAUUCAGUAUGAUCCACGAUCCAGUUGAAAUUUACUACCAGCCUAGUCCAUCCUUAACCUAGUACAUUACAAAAUUGUAUCCUUUCAGAUCACAUCUCACUUUAAAGUCAGAGGAGUAAGAUGUAGCCAAAAGAAAGGAGGGUAAGUAGAAAUAAGUAGAACUGCUAAGAGCUCAUUUCAGUGAAGUGUGCCUCCCGUGGCCCUUUUAAACUGCUACUUUUCCCUGUGGCUUAUAAUUAUUUGAGUGCAGGGUUUUGCAGUGGUUUGUCCUUGAGGUAUGGGCAGAGGUGGUGAUUUGUUUCUUCUCCCGUCUAUUUUGUUUCUCCUCAUUUCAACUUAAGGAAUGAAUUAUGUGGUCUUUUAUAAGAUAGAAAUUAGUGCAGCGUUUCUAAGUCACUUUGUGAUCUCCCUUCAGAGCUGACUCUUUGCAAAGAAACACUUCUGUCUUGUCAGAAAUGACAGUGAUUACUCCACAGUUUGGAUCAUCUCCAGCAGCUUUUGUUCCCUGAAAAACGGGCUUGAUUUGAUUAAUAAAAGUUUGGUAUAUUUGAUGAGUCAGAGGGCAGGAGAAUGUCCUUGUCUCUGAUGAGGCUCUUAGAUCAGACACAUUGAACAUCGGGGAUAAAAUCAACCUUAAUCUCCGAAGGAAAAACCCUGGAGCAUGAAACUGUUCUCACUAGAAAUGCUGCUGUAAAUCUUGCAAACCAUGUAGGUUUUCUGUUUGGGGCAACAUCAAAGCCCGGUGACUUUAGAGAUUAAAGUGUGUUUGACAAGCAAAACUUUCCCUGUGCCGUGCUCUGUACGAGAUUUGGCCUGUCUCUUGCCUUUGUUGAUUCCUGGUAAGACUUCUUUCUUCCCAAGAAGUGGGCAGCUUCACCUCCUCAGACCAGAGGAGGCUGCGGCGGUUUGUUCAUUUCAAGCCAGUCGUGGGCCGGGCAGCGGUCCCUCAGCCUCCAGCAUUGUCCUGCCCCUGCGGAGGACAAUGCCCUGUCUCAUCCCCUUCCCAGGGGCCCUCUUAUUUGGGAAGAGUUUCAGAGCCUUUUGCUGACUGUAAGCAGAUCAAACGACAGGAAGACUGUGGCUCUUCCCUCGGCUUGGACAAAGGAUUGAGUCUUUUACCUUAGAAUAUCUGUUUCUUUUAAAACCAUCUUCUGUGCCGUCUCAAGAAAGGCUUGUAUCUUUUUUUUUUAAACCUGUUUUCUGCAUUUGUGAUGUCGCUGUGCUAAUUCUUUUGCAGAUUGGAAAUAAGUGACUGUAUUUUUGUUUGAAUAAAGAAAAAUGUUUUUCAGAGAAAUGAAAUUACUGUUUAACAGAGAAAAAACUUUUCUUCAGUAACAUCCCUUUUGGAAAGUAAGGGGCGAUUUGCUUUCCAGCCAGAACUUUUAAAGGAAUUGUGCUCUCUAAAGUCAAGGAUUCUUUCUUCUUGCCAGGUUUCUAGAAGACCUGGCCUUUGGCUGCUUCUCAGGGUGGUCAUAUGAUAGGAAGGGGAGGACAGAUUGGGAUGGCAAAAGGCUUUAAAGGUGACACCCAUAGCGUAAAAUUCCCACUUAUUACUGGAAAAGCAUUUUGCGUAAAAACGGGUAUUCCCAAGUGAAAGGGUGGCAAUGGCAAAUGGUUAAGAGACUCACUAAAAUAUCUUAAAUUGUCUCUGUUAAACAUGUUGCAUCCUUAGAGGUCAGAUAGAGCUGAAACUUGAACAGCUGUACAACAAGCAUCUGAGAUUGUUUUUAAUUGUGUCCCCUUUCUCUAACAGCAGUAAUUCUUGUUUAUAUUGUCAAGAACCUUUCCACUCAGCACAAGCACACCAUACUUGAAGGUCAAAUGCUUAACCCUUCUGCAUGGUUACAAUGAAAAUGGGCCCUUUUGUUUUCAUUAAUGUAUACCCCAGCCGUGCCUACAGGGAGAAUGGGGGCCUCAGGCGUUCACCAAGCUGAAGUAACUUAUUGUAAAAGUGCCACAAAGACAGCAUAUUUUUGUUUCCAUACAACAGUUGUUUAGCCUUUGCCUUGUGCACCCAACCACAAGACAGUAUGCUCAUUUAUCAACAGGCAGAAUUUUUGGCUACCAUUUUGUUCCUUUGACCUGUGUUACUUUUUACUGACCCGACCAAAUUGCUUAAAAAUUUUCUCUUUCUGCUGUCAGUGUUUAAAGCUGCUUAGUGUCUCUGAAGUGGUCUCCCCAUACCCCCCUUUCUUUUUAACACUUUACAUUCCUGUGUUUACCACAGCACCUGUUACUGUAGUGAACCAUGAAAUUACAAAUGUUAUGCAGCUCUUAUUGACUGAUAAUCCUUUAUUAAAUAUAAAUAGAGUAUUCUCUGGACUCCGGGGUGGUGUAUAUAGGUAAGCAGGCAAAUACACAUAUGUUCAAACACACACAUAUAUUUAUUUGUGAGGGUCCAUUAGGAAAGUAUGCCGGUGUAUCUGUUUGUCAGGCACGAAAUCUUUCUUUCUUUGCUUCUUAAGAGUUAACCAAAACUAAAGGGGCCAGUUCAGCAAACGUUAAAUAUGAGCCUCAAACUUGAAGGCUGCUUUGUUACUGAAACAAAAAUUCCACAGCAGGUGGUGGACUUGAACACAGGAGGGAGGAGGAGGUUCAGUUGUUGCCCAUUUUUCUAAUCCUUUCAGAAUACCCAUUGUCUAAACCCCAAAGUUAAAGUGUCCCUGCUCAGUCUCAUGGAGACAAUUUCAGCAUGAAAGGGCUGUGCCCGUCACUGGUUUUCUACAGCGGUUGGGUAUGGAAUUUAUAACCACUAAACAAGGCAGGGGAGGCAAGGAUCUCUAUAAGAUGAGCCAGUAGUCUCUGCUUAUCAAAGCAUAAAACCGUUCUGAAUAUGGCAAGUUUUAGAGUUAAGUAGAAUUCAUGCAGAAUUCAUGCCGACAGCAGUGGUAUUUUGCAGGUUUUCGACUGUGUUAAUCAAUCAAGAUAGAAUUAUGGCUUUUGUUGUCCUUGGGGCUCUCGAAGCAACUUUAGGGCAACCACAUUAGCCUUCUGAAGCCAGGGUUAAACUUGGCACUUAUCAAGGUGCUUCAUGAACUCGGGGUAUGGAUUUAAAAGGGAUUAAUAAUUGAAAUUGGAAUGGCUGAUUUCUUUCCCUAAAGAGGAAUGAAAUAUUUAACUCUAGACCUCUGGGCAUCCUUGGUAGAAGACAUUAAACGAUGAGUUAAAGGGCAAAGGCAGAACACUGGACAAAUUCCUGUUCCUGCUUAUUAGGAAGGGUACCACAUAUCCCACUCAUGUGCGAAGUUCCCCUGUGUCCUCAUAGAGCCAUCCAGAGAUGUUUUCUUUAUUCCAAGUCACAGUUGGAAUCACUUUUUUUUAAUAUGAAUGCCGUGGAGUGAUAGUGUUCUUGUAUAAAUUCCUGAGAAAUCUGGAGUUGAAAAUCUUCUUCCCAUAAAUUUUAGAUACGGAUUCUAAUAACUGUGUAGAUGCUCUUUCAAUCAUGUUUUUACACAGUUGCUCAAGUGAACAUUGGAUAUAUUCUUAACCAGAAAGAAGCUACAUUGCUGCUGCUUAAGCCACACACUGGAUUCAAUACAAUUGCUCUCAGUGACAGUGAACGAAUGGCAUCUGCAAAACUUGAGGACUUUUGUAACCUUCUGGAUAGUCCCAGUAUUCGGAACUGAGUGUUUCCAUCUGAUUCUCAUAUUCCUUUCAUAUGUAAUAUAAGUAUGGGAAGAGGGUAAAAAUCGUAAAUAAUAUUAUCAUUUUCAGCCUUGACCUGGGGUCAUAUAGCUAGGAAGGCUCUGUGAUAUCUGGAGUGGAUCUAGUUGGAAAGAGAGUCUGGUAGCUCGGAGGCUCAGCAGCCAGUUGGCUGUCAUCAUCUGUAUUCAAAACGAUGUUAUUCACUCUCUGAACCCCACUGUCUUACUGAUACCGUUGUCAGGAGCUUAGUGUCGUUUGCCCCAGCGCACUACUACCCUUAGCGCUCUCUUCACUGGCAGUGAGACCCCGGGCCAGCUAUUGGACAUGCUGAGCCUUGGUUCCUUCAGUUGUUAAAUGAAUUUGGCUAAUGAUACCACCCAACCUUAUUGGGUUAUUGGAAGGAUAACAGGACAUGCUGUAGCCCUUCCUCACAGAAAGUGCCCCAUAUGUUUUUAGCCAUCACAUAGCUUAGUGGUUAAGAGAGUGAACUCUGCCCCCAGACUGCCUGGGUUGGAAUCCUGUCUCCACCACUUAACAGCUGUGUGAUCCAAGUCAAGUUACUUGACAUUUCUGUGCCUUAAUCUUCUUAUCUUUAAAUUGGGAUAAUAAAAAACCUAUUUCAGUGAGUUGUUCUGAGGAUUUAAUGAGAAGUGUGUGAAAAGUGACAUGGUUUGACACAUGGCAAGUGCUCAAUAACUAAGAGUUAUUGUUAUUUUUCUCGUUUUUGUUAUCAAUAGCUUUCUGAUUAUAUGUUUUACUUGGCCAUGUGAUAUGUUUUUCUUUUCAUAGCUAUUCUUAAUGUAUUAUUAUGAAUGCGUUAGUAACCAUUAAUGCAUAUGCACUUAAAUUACUGAUUAAAGAGUCCUGAAUUCUUAUUGAAGAACUAAUCCUCAAAUUCUCUGUGUGUGCAAGUAUGUGUGUGUGUAUGUGCACGUGCAUAUACUUCUUCUGGGUAAGUAUGUACCGGGUAGCAGGUAAUGCUGAUAUUGAAGACUCUGUAGACAGUGGUAUUUACAGAGAGUAGCCUAGGCAGCAACUGCAUUUGUCUCGGGUAGAGUUUAUCCGAAGGCAAGUGUGGCAGCCCUGCCCAGGUGAUUUUCACUGAAAUAUCUUUCCCUCCCAGAUUGUUAUUUCAUUUAGUGUUUUAGUAGUCACAGUGUGAAGAGCAUGAACUGCUUUAUUAUAUUGAGACAGAUCUCUGACCUCAGGAUCUUUAGAAAAAUAAAGAUUUUUAAGGAUGAGCAGGGUGUGUGUGGUAAAAUUUGUUAUAUCUUUAUUCUUACAGGUCUACAUUUUAAUUUUCAUUGCCUCAAAAUGGAAAGCAAAAUAGUACUUAGCAGGGCAGUGUUAAAUGAUAUUAUUAUGGUUAUGAUAGGCAGUGAACAAAAUAUUUUUUUCUUGUAGAGCAGAGUAUAACUUUUAUAAUCAAAAUCAAUUCUUGGAGCUUAAUUAAAUGUAACGGUAAUUUUAUGAACCUCUUGGACCUCCUCUUGCACCCCUUGUAUAUCUUUUGUCUUCCUGCCUAGAAUGUAAGCUCUGAGUGGCCAGGUACUGUCCCUUUAUCAUAUGUUAGUGUCUAAAAUAGGGCUGAUUGAUUUAUUGCAUGGGGAUUUUGCAUUCAGUACAUUCUGUUCUGUAUGUUCAAUAUAGAAUGCACUGGGCCUGGAAUUAGAACACCUGAUUUCCACCCUUAGCUCUACUCCUUAGGAGUUUGCAUAUUGGACAAGGUUUUAAAGUUAGCUGAACCUCAGUAUAUUUAUAAAAAUGUGGUUAAUAAUUCUUAGUCUACCUAGCUCACAUGGUUUUUAUAAGGCUUAAAUGAAAUAAUGUUCAUGAAAACACUUUGUAAAAGGUAAAUCAGUUUACACAUAUAUUAGCUUCUGGCACUGGAGUCUGAUGCCUGGGUUAGAUUUGGCUCUGUUGCUUUGUAAUGGUGUAAAAUUACUUAACCUUUCCAUGUUCUCAGAUUUUUCAUCUGCAAAAUAGAUAUAAUAAUAAUAGCUAUCUCAUAAUGAUACUGUUAGGAUUAAAUGAUAAGUUGCAUGUGAAUAGCUUAACAGUACCUGACAUGUAGAAAACACUCAAUAAUAUUGACUGCUAUGUCAUCAUCAUCUUUAUUAUUACUAUUAUUUUUAUUCAGAAAGCAUACAAGUUAAAAAAUAUUGGUUUAUCUGGUACAGAGGCACUGCUAACACCGAAUGAGGAUGUGGAGGGGAGAUAAAGGUUCAGGUAGUUUAAAAAUGAUGACCAAUUGUAGUAGCUUUAAGUAGCUCCAGGUGGCCUAUACUCUAGAUUUAUGCUAAAAUCUGAGUAGCAAACAUUUAUGGAAAAAAGAUAGCUAACAUUUAUUGACUCCUUACCAUGUGCCAAGCACCAUUCUAAGGGCCUUAUGUGUAAAAAUUAAAUCCUAUCAACCUUCUGAAGUAGGUACUAUAAAUAUCCUUACUUCACAGAUAAGGGAACUGAGGUACAGAGAAAAUAAAUCACUCGCCAAUGAACUCAGUCACUACUGGCGGCAGAUUCCAAUAUGUUCUUGAUCACCAUGCUAGAGUCCACAAGGAAAAGGGGGACCACCUGACUUGCCAACUGUAAUUUACAGCUAAGAAUUGAUUUGAGUUCUAUACCAUCCAGAUCCCAGCUCAGAUAUAGUAACACUUCGAGUGCAUGUUGAUAUUUGUGUUUAUGUGUGUAUGUGUGUAUAAUUUUCCCACAUCUUUCAUUUCCAGAUCUACCUUUCAUGGUCCAAACCCCUGUCUGCUAAAUGUCCCACAAGCAUUUCAAAUUUCACGUGUCUAAAACUGAACCCUUCUCUGGUGGAUUUGGGUUGUUAUUUACUCUCUCUGUGCCUCAGUUUUCCCAUCUUUAAAACAGAGAUGCCUCAUAUGGGGCUAUUGCUGGAUUAAAUGAGAUAAUACUGGUAAAAUGGCAUUGUGGUACCUGGCAGUGACAAGCACUAAAUAGCUGUAGCCCUUGCCACUGUGGGGAGCAAUUCUCGAGGCCUAGGGUAGUAGUGGGCAUUCUGGCUUCACUAUCCUGGGCAGUUAAAAUUUCCACUCAGGCUUUGGUUUCCAUGUUAUUGACAGAGGGAGUGGGCAGAAGUGGGGGCACAUAUAUACAAAGGAGUGAAUUAUAACAAAGAGUCUUUUCUGCUUCAGUUCUUGUGCAGAAAACAUAUGUUCAGUGAUGCAGGCAGCAGUUGGGUUAAAGACACACUGUAGGACUGCAGACAAAAGGCCUGUGCUCUUCCUGCAUUCACAGUGUUUCCAAACAUAUUCACUUGUCUCACUUGUUAGGGACUGAGCUGUCAGCUGGAUCCUCUUUCAAGUGUUAUUUCUUUUCCCCCGUUUCCCUUUCAAAGAAAGGCCUUGCCCCCCUUCCCCUCUCCGCCAGUGUUUUACACUUCAUAUAAUCCAGUGUGCAUGACAGACCACUUCAGCCUUUGUGCUACUGAUGCUGUAGGGAAGGAGGGAGCUGGUCUGAUGGAGAUCUUGGGUAACUUUUCACUUGCCCCAGGAUGGGGAGAUGCUAAGCCACUUUCAGGCCAAACAUCACCAGUGGCACAAUUAUUUGGUGUUUGGUGGAGCUAGCCAUUCUUCACCUUCAAUUAACAGACCAACAGAUCAGAGAGCAGUAAUAUUCUUAGAAGUGACAUCUGGGAAUUAGGGGCAUGUGUAUGUUGGGGUAGGGUUGGGGGCGUUCUUGCUUUUAUUAGUGGACUGAAUAGUUCCUGAUGAAAACACAAAGAUAAGGCUGUGCUGAAAUAACUGGAGAGAAGUCAUCUGCCAUUCUAGUAUUUAUUAUGUGAACUAUAUAUGUGUAGCCGUACCUAAUUCUUAAUCCAGGCAGUAUUACUGUGUGAAAGCUACAAUUCAAAACUUAUUGAUUUCUCUGUUGAAGGUUCUGCAGCUAUGGUGGGUUUAUUUCUAUGGGUGAGACUUUCUAGAAAGGCUUUUUUGUGUGUAACGAACCAGAACUACUAUUUCAGUGAAUAGUGAGCUAGACAUUUAAGUAAUGAGCAUGCUAGUGCUUCUGCCACUGAUUUAUAUUACCUUGGGGCAUUUCAUCCUCCCAGUCUCAGUUUUCCCAUAUGCAAAAUGGGAAGUACACUAUUGCUAUACCUUAUAAAGAUACCAUAUUAAAAUAAAAACUUAUAUGGAUACUGAUCGAUGUAGACUUCUCUAGUCUUGUAGAAAUCUUGUUUUGUGUCUUCAAUACAAUGUUUUGAGUCAAUUUCAGUGCUUCCAUUUCUUUUUUUCUUCCGAGAGUCUUGCUUGUGCUGUCUCAUGAUAUUGUUUAUUAGUUGAGUUGCUCAUCCUGGAAAACACCAGCAUGUUCCUAGGAAGGAGAAACAUCAGAAAGGUGGAGAAUUUCCCAUUGGCUUGGAACUGUAAAUGGGUUGUUAGCUCAUUUCAGCAGUAAGAGGCAUUUAUGAUCUUGCAAAUAAACAGGCGGUCAAGUGAAAUUUCCCAUAUAUGGUUUCUUCUGGUGUCAGGAUAAUUUCAACACUUAAAAAUCCGUAGAAGAAAAAUAUCGUAUAAAUAUUUUCUGGUGGAAAGUGCCAACAAAGUCAUCCUCGCCAACACGUGUCAGAACUGACAAAGGAAAACUGAUGGUAUUACAAUUUUUAGGGCUGUCAUUUGAAAAUCCUUGAAAGGAAAACAUUGUGGGAAUGUUCAUACUCCCUUCAGACUGGAAGUCACAGCCCGCAAAGAUUUCAGUAGUGGAUGAAGCUAAUAGACUGUAAAUGGGGAUGGAAUUGCUCUUGAUGUGGCACCUUCCUCUUUUGCCUGGAGUGGAGUGUCACCCAGAGCCAACAGUGGAACAACUGGAAAAUAAAUUGUUUCCCAUAUAGAAUGGGCUCAUCUCGCAGAGUGAUGGGAAGGAGGUGAGGGUAAUAAGCGUGUGUUCGUGAGUGUCCCCCCACCCCCACUCCCAGUGUAUAGGUUUUGUUUUUUCCCUCUUUUGAAAGGAAACUAAUGCUUCAGAAGCUAUUAUGAUUACUGGACUUUCUCGGAAAGAAUAAUUAUGCCGUUUCUUUCACCUUUCGAUGAAUCAGCCUUUAUUAUACAGACUGCAUGUAAUGGUGACUGAGAGUCAACGCUGCUGAAACAAACGAAUCUAUUAGACUACUCUGAAAACAGAGAAGAGAACAAUGAUUUUGUAAACUCCAUAAAGGUCAAAAAAAGGCUUUUCAAAGCGUGGGCUGUUUUUCACCAUCAUUUGAAACACCAAACUUGCCAACUGGAGCUCUGAGGUCCAGCCUCCGUUCGCUGCUCCAGCGCCCCUGGUUAAGCCUGUGGGGCAGUUUGUCUUCCCCAGGGCUCGGGCAUUCUAAAGGCUGCCACACGACUGUGCCCGAGAGCUCACCAGUGCCAGGCAGGCUGCUGGCUCAGUGGCUUUUAGUGAAACAGAUGAACUGUAAUGAUUUCUGUACUGGGAGGAAGAGAAAGAUGGGAGAUCCUGUGCAAGUGCUUUGGGAAAAUAAAAUUAAGCAAUCAUUCAAAUUUAUGAUUGUGGUAUUUUAGGAUUUUGUUUUUUCAAUCAGUAGUCAUGUUUCUUCUUCCAGGAUCUUUUGUCCCCUAUUUUUUUUUAAACAUAAUACUGCUGAUAUUAAUAAGAAGAAUUGUAAAUAUUUAUUGAGUAUUUCUUUUAUGUGCUCAGCAGUUUACAUUGAUUAUCUCACUCAUUUAAUCUUAACAGCAGUUUUAUGAAUUAGGCACUACUGUUUAUACUCCUGUACGGAUGAGGAGACUGAGCAAAGAAACAUUUUCCCCCAAUUCUUUCCCCACAGACAUUCUUGAUUACUCUCAGCUAUCUUAGCUCCCUAGUAUGUGAUGAAAAAAUGCCAAAAUAUUUCUUACUGGUAAGUUUUUGAGGAUUCACUCAGUAAACGCUGCUGAAUGUUCAUUCAAAUGAAGUGGUCUUUGAGAUGAACUGAACCAAGUAUGACUUUAAGUGGCAGUAAAAGGCUGCUUUGGGGGCAGCCUCUCGGAGACUCCUGGCUUUGUGCCUUCCCUUUCAGGACAGUCUCAGCUUAUCUAUUGCCUUCCUUGGGAGGUAGAAUAUGAUGGGGGGAGGGGAGGGACGCAGGGAUGAAGACAGCAGCCGUAAGGAAUCCAGUAGACGUGGCACCCAGUGGUAACUUGGUGUUAUCACUUAGCCGAGGUCAUCCAGGAUGUGUUUUCUCAAAUUCAGGAAACAGGGGAAAGAAAGUUUGAACAUUGUGUAAACAUUAGCACCCCCAAAACCUCCUGCUCCUGGAGAGAGAGAUAAGGUAGGCAGAAGGGCUGGGUGGAAUGUUUAUUUGUUCUGCUGGGCUGUGGAUCCGAGCGUGCUGGAAAUCUUUGGUGGUGCCCAGUCCAUUUUAGAAAACGUGAAGGCAUCACUCAGCAUUGAGCUGCAGAGGCCUCAUGAAACAGCCAUCUUCAACUGACAAUCAGCAAAUGAAGGAAGACCUGAGAGCGACCUUUCUUUGAUGGGACUAAGGCUAUCUCAGUGGGUUCUGUGCCUUUCUUCUUUUAAAAAAAAAAAAAAGGAAAGAAGGGAAAAAAAGUAUUCCUGGACGUUUGAAGAGGGGAGUCCUGG
This is a long non-coding RNA of Choloepus didactylus (southern two-toed sloth), 12241 nucleotides long. RefSeq lists it as uncharacterized. The transcript has 2 exons. NCBI's taxonomy places the organism in Eukaryota, Metazoa, Chordata, Mammalia, Pilosa, Megalonychidae. The record is from RefSeq and is a predicted model, not a curated record.